CCAAUAGCGUAUAUUAAAGUUGUUGCAGUUAAAAAGCUCGUAGUUGAAUUUCGGGGUUCAUACGUUGGUCGGGCUUUUUUGGUCUGUACUUAUGUAAUGGAUUCCUACCUUCUGAAUAACCGGCAUGUCAUUAAUUUGGUGCGCCGGGGAAGCAGGACUGUUACCUUGAAAAAAUUAGAGUGCUUAAAGCAGGCUAUCGCCUGAAUACAUUAGCAUGGAAUAAUGAAAUAGGACGGCAUGGUUCUAUUUUGUUGGUUUCUAGGAUCACCGUAAUGAUUAAUAGGGAUAGUUGGGGGCAUUAGUAUUCAAUUGACAGAGGUGAAAUUCUUGGAUUUAUUGAAGACUAACUUCUGCGAAAGCAUUUGCCAAGGAUGUUUUCAUUAAUCAAGAACGAAAGUUAGUGGAUCGAAGACGAUCAGAUACCGUCGUAGUCUUAACCAUAAACUAUGCCGACUAGGGAUCGGACGAUGUUAAUUUUUUAAUGACUCGUUCGGCGCCUUACG
RNAcentral lists this ribosomal RNA (503 nucleotides) under uncultured Glomeromycotina. Its description in RNAcentral is "partial small subunit ribosomal RNA". It matches the Rfam family "Eukaryotic small subunit ribosomal RNA", at positions 591 to 1092 of the family's 1831-position model. The record is from RNAcentral. Lineage: Eukaryota; Fungi; Glomeromycota.